UCGAGAAUUUUUCUCAAUGGGGGAAACCCUGAAGGAGCGACGCCGCGUGGAGGAUGAAGGUCUUCGGAUUGUAAACUCCUGUCAUUUGGGAACAAUUGUCACGCGUUAACUGCGCGGGGCUUGAUAGUACCAGAAGAGGAAGAGACGGCUAACUCUGUGCCAGCAGCCGCGGUAAUACAGAGGUCUCAAGCGUUGUUCGGAUUCAUUGGGCGUAAAGGGUGCGUAGGUGGCGAGGCAAGUCGGAUGUGAAAUCCCGGAGCUCAACUCCGGAACUGCAUUCGAUACUGCCCUGCUCGAGUACUGGAGAGGAGAUUGGAAUUUACGGUGUAGCAGUGAAAUGCGUAGAUAUCGUAAGGAAGACCAGUGGCGAAGGCGAAUCUCUGGACAGUUACUGACACUGAGGCACGAAGGCCAGGGGAGCAAACGGG
Molecule: ribosomal RNA, 428 nt
Filed under: uncultured bacterium
Lineage: Bacteria
Description: bacterial SSU rRNA
Rfam family: Bacterial small subunit ribosomal RNA
Source: RNAcentral